AAUGAAUUGCCUGACUAAAGGAUUAUCUUGAUAGGAUAAAUAAUAUGAUUAUUUCAUAUUCAUUA
RNAcentral lists this transfer RNA (65 nucleotides) under Epicypta sp. WQY003. Its description in RNAcentral is "tRNA-Ile". Lineage: Eukaryota; Metazoa; Arthropoda; Insecta; Diptera; Mycetophilidae. The record is from RNAcentral.